CUGGGGUGAUUAGUGGCGAACGGGUGAGUAACACGUGAGUAACCUGCCCCUGACUCUGGGAUAAGCCCGGGAAACUGGGUCUAAUACUGGAUAUGCACCGUGGACCGCAUGGUCCUUGGUGGAAAGAUUUUUUGGUCAGGGAUGGACUCGCGGCCUAUCAGCUUGUUGGUGAGGUAAUGGCUCACCAAGGCGACGACGGGUACCCGGCCUGAGAGGGUGACCGGCCACACUGGGACUGAGACACGGCCCAAACUCCUACGGGAGGCAGCAGUGGGGAAUAUUGCACAAUGGGCGAAAGCCUGAUGCAGCGCCCCCGCGUGAGGGAUGACGGCCUUCGGGUUGUAAACCUCUUUCCGUAGGGAAGAAGCGAAAGUGACGGUACCUGCAAAAAAAACCGCCCCUAACUACGUGCCAGCAGCCGCGGAAAUACGUAGGGCGCAGCGUUUUCCG
RNAcentral lists this ribosomal RNA (450 nucleotides) under uncultured bacterium. RNAcentral describes it as "bacterial SSU rRNA". It matches the Rfam family "Bacterial small subunit ribosomal RNA", at positions 83 to 547 of the family's 1533-position model. The record is from RNAcentral.